ACACAUGCAAGUCGAGGGGCAGCAUUUUAGUUUGCUUGCAAACUAAAGAUGGCGACCGGCGCACGGGUGAGUAACACGUAUCCAACCUGCCGAUAACUCUGGGAUAGCCUUUCGAAAGAAAGAUUAAUACCGGAUAGCAUAGGAUUAUCGCAUGAUAAUCCUAUUAAAGAAUUUCGGUUAUCGAUGGGGAUGCGUUCCAUUAGGCAGUUGGUGAGGUAACGGCUCACCAAACCUUCGAUGGAUAGGGGUUCUGAGAGGAAGGUCCCCCACAUUGGAACUGAGACACGGUCCAAACUCCUACGGGAGGCAGCAGUGAGGAAUAUUGGUCAAUGGACGGGAGUCUGAACCAGCCAAGUAGCGUGAAGGAUGACUGCCCUAUGGGUUGUAAACUUCUUUUAUACGGGAAUAAAGUGGUCCACGUGUGGAUUUUUGUAUGUACCGUAUGAAUAAGGAUCGGCUAACUCCGUGCCAGCAGCCGCGGUAAUACGGAGGAUCCGAGCGUUAUCCGGAUUUAUUGGGUUUAAAGGGAGCGUAGGUGGAUUGUUAAGUCAGUUGUGAAAGUUUGCGGCUCAACCGUAAAAUUGCAGUUGAUACUGGCAGUCUUGAGUACAGUAGAGGUGGGCGGAAUUCGUGGUGUAGCGGUGAAAUGCUUAGAUAUCACGAAGAACUCCGAUUGCGAAGGCAGCUCACUGGACUGCAACUGACACUGAUGCUCGAAAGUGUGGGUAUCAAACAGGAUUAGAUACCCUGGUAGUCCACACAGUAAACGAUGAAUACUCGCUGUUUGCGAUAUACGGUAAGCGGCCAAGCGAAAGCGUUAAGUAUUCCACCUGGGG
This 836-nucleotide ribosomal RNA is filed under the name uncultured bacterium. RNAcentral describes it as "bacterial SSU rRNA". It matches the Rfam family "Bacterial small subunit ribosomal RNA", at positions 51 to 878 of the family's 1533-position model. The record is from RNAcentral.